RNAcentral lists this long non-coding RNA (3553 nucleotides) under Mus musculus (house mouse). RNAcentral describes it as "long non-coding RNA chr10:73255360-73258913". The record is from RNAcentral. Lineage: Eukaryota; Metazoa; Chordata; Mammalia; Rodentia; Muridae.
UUUUUUUUUUUUUUUUUUUAAAUUUAUUUAUUAUUAUAUGUAAGUACACUGUAGCUGUCUUCAGACACACCAGAAGAGGGAGUCAGAUCUUGUUAAAGGUGGUUGUGAGCCACCAUGUGGUUGCUGGGAUUUGAACUCUGGACCUUCGGAAGAGCAGUCGGGUGCUCUUACCCGCUGAGCCAUCUCACCAGCCCCCUGUCUGGCAGGUUCUUGUUGCUUCUGGAGACUCAGGCUAAUCGAUUGAGUGAUGUCAGCUGAUACAGACUCAGGUGGAGUUUUGCUGAAAUAGACUUAUGUGGUAAGGUAAGACCCAUGGGAGGACACAUGAUGUUUGAAGGGAGUAUAGAUAAGACACCACAGUCAGUGACACCAGGUUUGCAUAGCUUUGAUUGUCUCACAUCUUCCUCUUCCUCUUUGUUGAUCUUCACUCCCCGGAGAAAGGCACAGCAGAGAGAGAACUCCUGGUAUCCCUCUUGGUCCUGGUCACUCCUGCUGACUUGAGCUGAUUUGGCUAAGGCCUGGCUGUUUCUGCUGGGUCGUUCCAUCACUGCUGAUUGAUUGGUGAUUGCUAUCCUGACACUGCUGAAUAGGACUGCUGGUAUAUAUCCUGAAAACAUAGACUGGAUUUGCUCCAAGGAACUAUUUCUAAACAGGUCCACUUCCCCCAUAUCCUAAAAACAUUUCUUUCCUACUAAUUCUGGUGGAUGGUGGGCUAGAAAAGAAGUUAAAACAUUAAAAAAAUUUAUUAAAAGUAGAGUUAAGGAAAAUAUAAGCCACGCAGAUUUUUCUUUUGGUCAGAGUAGAUUGACUUUCUUUUUUUUUUUUUUUUAACUAACUUUAUGUUUUUCUCUGGGUAAAUAGAUUGCUUGUAUAAUUUUUUGUAAAAUGUCUCUAAAUUUUAGAAAAGUAUAUAAUAAACUAUCUUCAUAAACUUCUUAUUCACUGCACUGUGUAUUUCCCAGUAAGACAGCUCUAUAGGCUCUAAAAAGGCGAGCACAAUUACUGCAUUCUUGGCUGGUUUCCCUUUGACCUGGUGUAAUUGUUUCACUUUUUGAAGUUAUUCCUGCUGUGUAAUUGCUACCUACUUUGUUUUAUUUAUUCUUUGUUGUAAAUUCUACACUGUCAGGCACCUAUAACAACCUGAACACAUUUUUGUUUAUAUUUCCAAUGCAUAAUUUGGCUGCUCAUUUAUUUCCUUAAUCUACUUUAUUUGUAAGUAAAAAUAUAUCUUUUUUUUUUUUUAGUUAGAUUCUCCUCUGUAUGCCAAUAAAAGAAGUUUUGUUUAAUAUAUGAGCUAAGUCUUUAUUUAUAUUUCAUUUCAGGUCUUCAAUGAAAUAUAUUACACUGAAGAUUGUUUCUAUAUAUAUUCUAUAUCUUUUCCUCAAUUGUCAGUUGCAUUACAAAUUUAAUUUUGGAGUUUUAUUACACUUUUUUUCCAUAGGAAAGUGCAUCAUACUAUAGUGGUUUUCUUUAGAGCAAAUUGUGUAGAAGAUCCCCUUUUUUUUCUUGUUCCACCAUUUUAGCUUCCUACCUCAUCUCCCAGGCUAUCGUGUCUGAGCCUCUCCAUGUAGAGCUGUCAGGGUCAAAGAUUAUCUUUAUUCUUCCAUCAGCAUGCUUUCUUUACAUAUCCAUAUCUCCUUAUCAUGUAUAUUCACUGGUAUUACCCUGAAGUUUGAUUUAGUGUUAAAGUUUAAGUUAAAUAUAGUUGGUUGGAUCUUUUUCAUUUUUCUUCAUUUUGUGUAUUUUCCCCUAUUUCUCCACUAAUGGAAUGGUACUUCUGCCCUAGAGAACAUGGUACAUUUCUGCACUGUGUUGAGUUGAACUGAGCUCUGCUCAACUUUGCUGAUGUAGAAUUGACUCUUCCAGCUGCGCUUGGAUGGAACUUAGUUGGAGUGGAUUCCCACCUCCUGCCUUUCUGUGUAUGGGACAUGAGCUUUUGUACUUGGAAGUCAUUUUACUUUGUUUCAUACAACUUUCAACUUUUACUAGCUCCUGCUAGGGAAGUUUACUAGGUAGCUGUACUGUAGACUAUCCCAUUCCCUAUAUUAGUAUGCUUUCUCUUGAGUUAUUCAUUCUAAUAUAUAUUUUGGAUACUAAUACAUUGUGUAAAACUUUAUCAACAGUUGUUUUCACAUGAAACUAUUGAGCAUGUAGAAAACUAUUUCAAGCCCAAAGAAAAUUGUUUAUAAUUAGUAAAAUCCAUGAAUUCUUUUUCUCCAUCUAACAAUCUAGUCUCCUUUCUUUUCAUGUUGACUCAUGAAGAUGUGAGUUUUCCUCAUAUAGUACAUAUAUACAUAUAAUUCAACUCAGAUAACAAUCCAUUCCAGCUUUUGGGCAGAAAUAGUGAAUUCAAUUUCAAGACUGAUAUACAUUAACUCAUAUGCUUAGUAUUAACUUCUUAGCACCAUUUCUGCUGCUACAAAAGCCUGAAAUGUUUUAGACUCGUACUACCAAUGUCUGGUAUAACAACUGAUUGAUAUCUAGUGAGGAGCAUGAGGCUGUAUUACAAGGCACAGGGUGGCAUCUGCUAUGGCAGAGCAGGUUUAUCAGCUUGACUUCUGGUUCCUUCUCUCUGCUUUUAUACAUGUGUGUAUGUGAACAGGUGUGCAUGUGUAUACAGAACAAAGCACAACCGUUGGCAUUUUUCUCACAUGCAAUACAUGUUUUCUUGAGGCAAGAUCUCUCAUUUGAUUUGUUCCUGACCAAGUAGACAAGGCAAAGGAAGACUCAGGAUCUACAUGUCUCUGACAUUCAUUACAGGGUUUACCAGCACAUGCCACCAAACCUGGCUUUGUAAAAGCAGGCUUUUUCAAAUUGAACUCAUAUCCUGUCCCGUGGAAAGCAAGCACUUUAUAAGCUAAGCUAGCUCCUAAAUCCUCUCUUCUUAUAAGGUUACUGAUGGCAUCAUUAGAUCAACCAACCAUCACAACUCCUCCUCAUUCUAAUUGUCACCAUAAGGUCCCCUCUCCAUAGACUGUUGAUGUUUACAUCACAGCUUCAUAUUUCCCAAAUCAUGAAUUCUUACAAAAAUAUUUGAGUCACAAUAUACCAAAUAGGAAUAGAGAUGUGGGUCAAUUGGUAAAGUGUUUACCUAGCAUAGAGGAGGCUCUGACUCAGAGCUCCAGGACCAUAUAAACCAGUUAUGGUGUUGUACACCAGGAAAGUAGAAGAAGGAAAGUCGGGAGUUCAAGGUUAUCCUCAACUACAUAGAGUUUGAGUAUGAACACCAGAGGACCAGUUCCAAAAACAGAACCAAACUAUACUUGAAAAAGGAUAAUAUAAUAAAGGAUCCAUGUGAAUAGACUAAAAAUUAAUAACAUGGGAACAAGAUAGAAUAGAGAGAACAGAUCAGAGAGUCACUUUGUAGCCUCUGGUGUAUGUUUAGCUGCAGCAAAUUUCUAAAUGCAGUUUCAUCAUGAUUGACAGUGUUUACAACCAGUGCUGAGUCAAUGCUUGAAUAGUUCCAUGCACAUAGGAACUUUGAUCUGUUUUGUAAUGCCAUAAAAAGUUAAAGGUGGUUGCAGAUCAAUGUUUAAAUCCUAAAGCAAAGCUU